GGAUUGCCCCAGUAACGGCGAGUGAAGCGGCAACAGCUCAAAUUUGAAAUCUGGUCCCCUCUGGGGGCCCGAGUUGUAAUUUGAAGAGGAUGCUUUUGGCGAGGCGCCGUCCGAGUUCCCUGGAACGGGACGCCGCAGAGGGUGAGAGCCCCGUACGGUCGGACGCCGAGCCUCUGUAAAGCUCCUUCGACGAGUCGAGUAGUUUGGGAAUGCUGCUCAAAAUGGGAGGUAAACCCCUUCUAAAGCUAAAUACCGGCCAGAGACCGAUAGCGCACAAGUAGAGUGAUCGAAAGAUGAAAAGCACUUUGAAAAGAGAGUUAAAAAGCACGUGAAAUUGUUAAAAGGGAAGCGCUUGCGACCAGACUUGCGCCCGUCGGAUCAACCGUCGCUUGCGGCGGCGCACUCCGGCGGGCUCAGGCCAGCAUCAGUUCGCCUGGGGGGAGAAAGGCGGCGGGAAUGUGGCUCUUCGGAGUGUUAUAGCCCGCCGUGUAAUACCCUCGGGUGGACUGAGGACCGCGCGUAUGCAAGGAUGCUGGCGUAAUGGUCGUCAGCGACCCGUCUUGAAACACGGACCAAGGAGUCGUCCUAAUAUGCGAGUGUACGGGUGUCAAACCCCUGCGCGUAAUGAAAGUGAACGGAGGUGAGAGCUUCGGCGCAUCAUCGACCGAUCCUGAUGUUCUCGGAUGGAUUUGAGUAAGAGCAUAUUGGGCCGGACCCGAAAGAAGGUGAACUAUGCCUGUGUAGGGUGAAGCCAGAGGAAACUCUGGUGGAGGCUCGCAGCGGUUCUGACGUGCAAAUCGAUCGUCAAACAUGGGCAUGGGGGCGAAAGACUAAUCGAACCUUCUAGUA
RNAcentral lists this ribosomal RNA (849 nucleotides) under Pseudoscopulariopsis asperispora. RNAcentral's name for it is "partial large subunit ribosomal RNA". It matches the Rfam family "Eukaryotic large subunit ribosomal RNA", at positions 72 to 949 of the family's 3401-position model. The record is from RNAcentral. Lineage: Eukaryota; Fungi; Ascomycota; Sordariomycetes; Microascales; Microascaceae.